CCCUUAGAUGUUCUGGGCCGCACGCGUGCUACACUGAACGGUUCAAUGGGUAAGGUAGUGCGAAAGCAUGACCUAAUCUCGAAAUCCGUUCGUGCUGGGGAUAGGAGCUUGCAAUUAUCCUUCUUGAACGAGGAAUACCUUGUAAGCGUGAGUCAUCAUCUCACGCUGAAUACGUCCCUGCCCUUUGUACACACCGCCCGUCGCUCCUACCGAUUGAGUGUUCCGGUGAGGCUUUGGGAGAAUGGCCUCAACAUGAGUUUAUCGUGUUUUGCCGUUUGAACUUAGUCAAACCUUAUCACUUAGAGGAAGGAGAAGUCGUAACA
Molecule: ribosomal RNA, 323 nt
Filed under: uncultured eukaryote
Lineage: Eukaryota
Description: partial 18S ribosomal RNA
Rfam family: Eukaryotic small subunit ribosomal RNA
Source: RNAcentral